GGAGUUGUGGCUCAGUGGUAGAGUACUUGCCCCACAUGCAUGAGGCCCUGGGUUCGAUCCUCAGCACCA
This 69-nucleotide transfer RNA is filed under the name Ictidomys tridecemlineatus (thirteen-lined ground squirrel). RNAcentral describes it as "Spermophilus tridecemlineatus (thirteen-lined ground squirrel) tRNA". It matches the Rfam family "tRNA". From Rfam's summary of the family: Transfer RNA (tRNA) molecules are approximately 80 nucleotides in length. Lineage: Eukaryota; Metazoa; Chordata; Mammalia; Rodentia; Sciuridae. The record is from Rfam by way of RNAcentral.